Molecule: long non-coding RNA, 7629 nt
Filed under: Homo sapiens (human)
Lineage: Eukaryota; Metazoa; Chordata; Mammalia; Primates; Hominidae
Description: HSALNT0385784
Source: RNAcentral
CGGGGACUCGGUGCGGAGCCGGGGCGCCGAGUGUCUCCGUGUCCCUCUGCCCCAGCCGGCGGCCGCGAUGGUGGAGCUUGGCCUCUCGCUCUCUCCCGCCUCUCCAGCGACUGCUCUGCCGGCCGCGGAGGUCGGAUCGAGCGGUCAUUCAUUCAUUUGUUAAUUCGUUCACUUAUUCAGGGGAGAUCAUUGAACCCCUACGGAGUACCGGGUACUGGGCCGGGCGCUGAGGACGCGGGGCUGAGCAAAAGCAGCCGAGGCCCACCUUCGUGCCCCUUAAAACCCAGCGUGCGGGGCGGCAACGAGUACUGCUUUUCUGUUUUGCACUUAAAAUUUACAUUUUGCAUCCGUACUUUUUAUUUACUGUGCACCCUUACGGCAUGCUUUACGCACCCGUACCUGCACCUCCUAGCCUUGAGUGUAGACACCAGAUCCUGAGAUGGGCGAUUUUUCGAGAAUAAUUUUUACCCUAAGUGGAUUUUCGUGCCACGCAUGGACUUGGAACUACACACACGUAGUCCAAAACGUGAAAGUCAAAAUGCAGCUUUGCCAAGUGGCAGGGAGAAAGGAGAGCUGAGAAGAUGAGGAGAGGAAGGGCGCGCUCCAGGCUUUCCAGCCCGGGUGCGGUAGACGUAGCCCUGAAGGAUGAACCCAGGCUGGUAGUAGGGCGGCGGGAGGGCGGGGGGACCUGUCAGUCAAGUCCAAAGCAGAAACGCGGCGCCGGAUCCCAGUCAGAGGCCGGCUGGAACGCUUCCCACAGGCUCCUGGCGCUCCGGUCCCCACCAGGCGACCUUGAUCCUGGCGUGCUCAGCGGAGCCAGCGCAGCGUCGGGAGCUGGAGAGACGCGGGGCGCCGGCUGAGCGCUCCUGCCCUCUGCCUCUGGGCUAGCCUCUGGCCCGGCCUCCCGGCCUCCCCCAGGGUACGCUCUCCCCCAAGAGCGAACACCAGCUUUGGGAUCGCCAGCAGCCACGUCUCUGCUUCUAGAUCUCUUUUUUUUUUCUUUGAGACUUAGUUGAUAGCUGUUUAAGGAAUUAUGUGGAGGAAAUCUCACCUCCGACCCCCGCCCCCGUUGAGCACGGCCGGCCAGGGUCGCUGGGUGGGCCAGGAGGAAAGAAAGGGGCGGGGAAGAAGCAGCAAUUUUACUUUAAAUUAAAAUGACACAAAAAUAUUUUUUCAACUCAGAUCUUUCUGAGACAUCCCCAGAAAGCGUUGCAAGCUGUGAUUACACCUAAUGUGAGAGCAUGAACUAAUUUAAGAGGUGAGAGCUGCAUAAUGAGGCUGCCUCCCGUGUAGCAGCCAAGACUGGCAGCUCUGGCGGCGCGCUGGAGGGGACCGGGAGGGGCACCCUUGUAGAACCAGUCCCUGGCGCCCUGGGAUCUUCUCAGUGCCCUGGCGCUGUGUUGUCGGUCACUCCACAGAUAUUACAGGGUGCCUCCUGAAUGCCGGGUUGCAAUCAAGAGCAAGAGAUGGGGCGAGUGAAAGAGCCUGUUUUCAGGAGCUCAGCAUCAGGAUGACGAUUACCUAGAGGGAGGUGGUGGCCAGCCUCCCCCUCUUCUCUUCAUGCUGAGGCUCUGGUGGGCAGUGCCCAAGCCUGAACUGCCAUCUGUAUGCCAGUGGUUACCCAACUUGUAUUUUCAGUCUUAGCCUCUCUCUGGUCCAGACUUGUCAUUCUAAGGGCCCUUUUUCACUGACUCACAUUGUCUCCUCCCUCCCUGCCUUCCAAACUCAGCCUUUUCCUUUUUCCCUUUCCCACUGACAACAGCUGCACGACCCCCCCGCCCCCCCACGAGGUGAAAAUUCCCAAGAACCCCAUGUCUAACCUAACUCCCUCUCUAUGUCCUGUUGCUUGAGCCAUUCUCAUUAGGCUGCCUGUUCGGAGUUCAUUAUCUCCUAAUUUUUCAUCCAGGAAUUGAUGAAGAAUCACCUACUGCCUCUCCCACACACUGUUUAUUCUUUCAUUUGAUGAUAUCUGUUAAGUGCCCUGAGAUAUGUAACCUCCACUUCCCUCCCAUAUAAGUGAGAUUUCACGUUGAUUACUUCCUUGGCUUUCCUCAUCCCUUAUCCACAUAGCAUGUGUUCAAAAUAAUGAAUAUUAAUUUAAUGUUAAUAGAUAUGUGCUUUCCUGAAUUGUGAGGAUUAAAUGAAAUCAUGUAUAUAGGGAGGAAAAUCCAUUAGAAACCUCAAAAGCAGUUAUGUUUAUUUUUGCUAUUGUCACAUUGUUAGAGUCAGAAUUCUUUUAGCUGCAAGUGACAAAACCAACUCAAACUGGCUUAAGGACUUUAUUGGUUGAUGCAAAAAGCCUCGGGUUAGGUCUUGCCAUUUAAGGUAGGGCUGGAUCCAUCAAUCCGGGUUACCAGGAUCUGUUUUCUAGUUGUGGCUUCAUUUUCAGACAAGUUGUUUCCAUAUGAUAGCCUCAUAGAAGGUACUACCAGCUUAGUCCUAGCAAGAAAAAAGAGUACUUACUCUUCAAUAUUUGCAGCAGAAGUCCCAGGUCUGUUCUUAUGAGGGCAGUUUGAGUCACUUGCUCUUCUCUGAACGUGGAGAAGGCACUGUUUAGAUGAUGGAGGUUGGAUUCAGGUGCAUCCCCUGGAAUGGGGUUUGGCAUUAGCUUCACGUGGUCUAGAAUAAAGGGGUUCUCCAAAGGAAAAUUAGGGUAGGAAUGCUGAGUAAGCAGAACAAACAGAUGUCUACUUUAGUCCUUCCCAAAGGGUGAGCUGCAAUACAUUGCAGACUAUCAGAAUGGUGAUGAACACGGAUGCAGUAGCCAAGAAAAUAGAUGUGUGUUUGUCGUGGUCUUUUUCAGUCUUCAAGAUCUCAGUUAAACAUGAAGUCAACCACUCACUAUGAUGUUAUUUGAGGUUUAGCUUUGAAGUGGAAAUGUACCACAAAUAGUAGAGCCAGAUAAAUACAAAUAAAUAAUUUUAACAGUCCAUUCUAAAAGAUUUCUUUGGUAAUAUUCUGUUGGAAUUGAUUUCUAUCUUUUCAUUUGUUAGGUUCCUGGAAAGUGAAAAUUUCAUUUCUUUGUGGACAGGUACCUAAAAUGUCUCAUUAUUCAUCAAUUAAUGAAAAACAAAUGAAAAUUUGAGAGAGAUAUUCUGAAGAAUAAAAGGAUCAAGUUGGGUCAUUUCUAAAAUGUAAGAUUAUAAGGUUUAACUUGCUAAGACUUUUGAGGGGUUGAAUUAUUGGUAAAUUAUUAUAGAACCACUUAUCUGAGGCUUUUAAAAGUGAUGUGUUACAGAGAUUUAGGGAACUGCAAGAUUGCAGAUAAAGAAUUUAUACUGUCAACUGUUCUAUACUUUACCUUCUGCUUUAAAUGCGGCCUUAUAUUUUGAAGUCAAACAUUUAUUUUCUCUCACUGCGUUCUGAAUUUCCUACCACAGUGCAUUUUGAGAAAUGAAUAUAACAGCAGUCUUCAUAGAUGCCAUAUUCAUGGCAACUCUGUCCCCCGCCAACACCACACCCUGGAAAAAAACCAACUUUCUAUUGUUGGAAUGAGGUAACAUUUUCAGGAAAAGGGAACCAUUUUCUCACAGGAUAUAGAACAAAUUCAACCUUUUAUUAAAUCAAAAUGGAUUCUCUAAUGUUUAUACAUAUCAUAUAGGAUUUCAUCUCUUUCAAUCUUGGUUCAAAGGCCCAGACAGUACCAUUCCCUAGUAUUUAGUCCAUUUGCUCAUAAAGCAGAAGAGAAAAGCUACUUUGUUCCGAAGGGUGUUAGAUUUAGGAUUCCAAGGUUAUUUCAAAUUAAUGCCUGGAACUAGACUAUAAAAUGCAGGAAAGAUUCUAAGUUGUUCAAAGAUGAAAUAUCUUAACUUUCACCAAAAACUCUGUCUUCUGGGUAUUUUUUGUUUUUCUGCCUUUCCAGAUUUAUUUUAAAUACAACAUUUUUGCUGUUUACAUUUUUAAAAGUUACAUUUCAAAAUUGUUCAUAAUUGGACACUUUCAUAAAAUGUAGGCAAAUGCAGUUUUACUUUUUAAUGAAGGACAAGUCUGUUGAUAACAUUUUGAUUCUUAAAAUUUUUUUUAUCUUAUAAAAAUGAAACAAUGCAUUUAAAGUGUCUUCAGCUCUUAUGUUAAUACCAAAUUAUACAUUUUCUUAGCCCAUGUUCAGGAGAGACAAUAUAUCUUCCAAAUUAAGAGAAGCUGGCACCAUUUUUAAAACAAGGCCUUGAAUCUGCUGUGGUAUGUGCUGGUAGGAAUUUUGUAUGAAGCUGUUAUUGAAGUAGAUGACAUUAAGGUCAAAGGAAAAAAAAAACAGAAAAUAAUGUAAUCCUACAGAGCUGCUCUUAAGAUCUUGAGAGAAAAACCACGUAGGUAACAUCAAACACUAGUUGGAAUCUUUCCAAGAAGUAAUUAUCUGUGUGCUGUUUGUGGUGGUUGAUUAUGGGAACAAACCAAGGUUUAGCCAAUUCAGCAAACAUUUAUGGAGUGCCUGCAAUGUGCAUGUCACUGUUUUAAGGCCUGUGCCUACUGUAAAGGUGACCCACACAUGAUGCCUGCCUUGCAGGACUUGGAGUUCAGCGAUAAUAAGAGAUGCAUACCUGAAAAGCCUAUUUAAGACUCUUCCGGUUCUACAAAGAAGGCUUCUUGAAAGUGGUAGCUUUGAUUACUCUUUGGAUUUAUUUACAUUUAUCCUAUAAUCAGAAGGUAUACAAAACAGACUCACACAUAUAUAAAAUUAAUAGAUUAGAUAGCAUUUAAACAAAUAUUUCAGGUAGGUACUUCAAAUGCAUUUGACAUUUAUCAAAGAAAUGGUAAGUGCUGUCAUCCGUGGGUGGCUGGAUUAACAUGUGGGACUACUUAUCACCAAUUUUGUUAGGGAUCUUAGGGAAAUUCCUGGAUCUUAUAUUCACAAGCAAUUGUAUAAAUACUUCCCACAGCUCAGAGACCUAAUAGGAUGGGGUCUUAGAGAAACAUCUUUUGAGCCACAGACUUCUUUGUUACCAGAAGGAAAAUGAAAGAAGAAAUUUAAAUACCACUUGAAGAGAGCUGAUCGCCACCAACUGGCCUCUGGGUGGAUUUGGCCAAUGGAAGCACCUGUAGAGGGAAGAGAGUGAGGUUAGGAUAUUUCUUCCUGCUGUCUCCGUGCUUCCCUGCAGAGAGUGUGAAGAAAUGACCCUGAAAAGCCUCUGGCAGAGGAUUCUUCUUUCAGGAUGGUGUCGCCUCCUCAGCAGCCCAUCCUCCUCCCCUGGACUCAAGCUCUCAUUCCAGUAACACUCCUUCCUCCUUCUCCAUCUUCAGGGGGAGGUUUGCCAGUCGGUGGGUUCUAAGCAUAUCUCGCUGAUUCCCCCCAACCCUGCCGACACCUCUGUAGGUCGUCCCUUCAUUAAAAUCUCUCCAUUUGAACUAUCUGAGUUUAAUUCCAUUUCCUCCUGGUAUCUCAGUGAUACACGGUAUCAGUACAAAAAUCUCGCUUCACCUUCAGAACCAACAGAUUUGAGACAUUUUAUCCUCUGUGGAACCAUUAGUUAUUUUGUCAUUGGUUGUAUCAGAAAAAAAAAUCAGGAAUGCAAAUCCUUCUUUAUUACAGAUUCAGAUUUGCAUAUUACCAAUGUUAUAUAUUUUAAACAAAACUAUUCAUCAUAAGUUUUAAAAAUUAACUACUGGAGUAGUUAAUGAAUCUGAAUGUAAUUAUGUAGCUUUCAUAAUAUUAAAGUAAAAAUACUAAAAGAAGUAUUUCUUAAAGAAGCAAAUGCUCAAUCUCCAAGUAAAUUUUAUUCUAUGCUCUUCCGGUAUAAGAAUAUGUUAAUAUCUUGAAAAAUAUCAUAUUAUUUUGUGAACUCAUAAAGCUAUUUUGAGUUUUUGUAAAAUGAAAACCUUACCAAAAUGUAUUUUAUUGUUGGAAAGCUUGACCGUUACUGCUGUUUAAUUUUUUGAGCUUGUAAACUUUAUUUGUGCAUGUUUUCAACAAAGAAGGAUUUUAUUGUUAUUACAUAAAACAGGUGAUUUCUAGAUUUUAAAAUCACAAAUUGAAAGCAAGGCACAAUAAUAUAUAUUUCAAGAUAUAGGUACUUAGGAGGCAUCCUUUUAGUCAUCUGUUCAAUGUAGCCAUCUAUUUUACACCUACUGUCUACUAUUGUUUGAGGUCCUUGCCAAAGUAUUGCAGGCUAGUUAGGAAACAUAAAACAAUUAGAAAGUAAUCUAUGACAAGUAAGCUAUCUAUAAAUGGCAAUGAAGGGUAGAACAAAUUCAAUGAAAAUAUCUAUUUAAUCCUAGUGUUUACUGGUCUAGAAGAAUAGGCUGAGUAAAUUAGUAUUUCUCUGGCUGUUGUGGUAACACAUUGCAUGCUAUAACAGUUUUAAGUAAUUACAGGUGCAUUGAAAUUUAUCUAUGGCUUUGUCAUCAUAUUCUAAAAUGUCAUGAGUACUUUUUUCUGACCUCAAUUACUAUGAAAUUGGUUUCCAAUAUUUAAUUAACCAAGAAUAUCAAGUCUAUAGGGUAUUAUUAAGGUGAGACUUCUGUAGCCUUUUCAAUAAAGACCAGAAUUUUGGAGUGCCUUGAACCUUAAUCAUUGAUCUUUAAUUCUUAUUAAGUCAACUGCCCACCUUUUAAAGACUGAGGCCCAGGAAGAGUAAGUUUCUCUGAGACAAUGCAUACAGUACAGUGCUUCUUGGGUAUUGGCUCUAAGACCAGAUGCAAAGAAAGGCUAAAAUCCCAUUUCAUUGUUCAUUAGGUGAGAACCCUUUGUUAAGCUGUGUAACCUCUGUGCAUAGUUUCCUCAUCAGCAAAGUCAGAAAAAGUAUGUACCUGAAGGACUGAUUGUAAGGCUGGGAUGAGAGAAUCCAUGUGAUCAGCCCUCACCAACAGGUGCUGCCCAGUUCAUGAGUGCUGCUGCUGUCCUGCCCAAGUACCCAGCUUGCAGAGUGCCAGAGUUAGAGUCCCAGGGGUGUUCUCCACAGCUGCAUGCUUGAUCCAGGCCUAUCAGGUGAGUUGGCUCUUGGCUAGUGGUUUUUCUUCUCUUGCUGUACAAAAGUCCAGACAGUAAUGUCUUUUUUUCAUUUUUAUAGAUAUAUUCCAUUGAAAGUCCUCAUUCUCAAAUUUAAAACAAAGACUUUUUGUGUACCUCAAUAGCAAUGCACACACAGUUGGCUUCACAAACAUAUUGUACAUUUCUUUUUUUCAUAUUUAUUCAACAAAUGUAUAUUGACUACCCACCGUGUGACAGGUGUUAUUUGUUGACGGAACCAGGCAUCAUCAGCAAACAAAACUGACAAAGCUUCCUGCCCUCUGUGGAAGGCAUCUGAGGAAGAGACUGGAUUUUGUAGCAACAUGUUAUUCUCAUUAUAAACUUUAUCAUUGGAAUACUAAAGCCAAAUCAUCCCCCAUCUCCUUGAUCAGGAUACCCACUUAAUCUAGGCAGCUACACAAUUGUGAGAGCCUUUGUUUUUUUCUGCUGAAACAUCCUUAAAAAGAUACCUCACAACCCAAGAUUUGGCUUUUCUUAAAUACGAUUUUUAAUUUUUUUCAUUUCUAUCUAGAGAUUUAAUUGGAAAUGGAAAAUCAUCAAUUUUCCAAUUAAAUGUCUGUUCCAAUCAACAUUAUACCUUUUAGGUUGUCAUUGUCAUUUUUAAGUUUAAGCAACUUUAAGGAUUUUGAAUCUGGCUGCCUGUAAAUUAAAGGUGAAAGUAAUCA